GACGAACGCUGGCGGCGUGCCUAAUACAUGCAAGUCGAGCGAGCGGAACUAACAGAUUUACUUCGGUAAUGACGUUAGGAAAGCGAGCGGCGGAUGGGUGAGUAACACGUGGGGAACCUGCCCCAUAGUCUGGGAUACCACUUGGAAACAGGUGCUAAUACCGGAUAAGAAAGCAGAUCGCAUGAUCAGCUUUUAAAAGGCGGCGUAAGCUGUCGCUAUGGGAUGGCCCCGCGGUGCAUUAGCUAGUUGGUAAGGUAAAGGCUUACCAAGGCGAUGAUGCAUAGCCGAGUUGAGAGACUGAUCGGCCACAUUGGGACUGAGACACGGGCCAAACUCCUACGGGAGGCAGCAGUAGGGAAUCUUCCACAAUGGACGCAAGUCUGAUGGAGCAACGCCGCGUGAGUGAAGAAGGUUUUCGGAUCGUAAAGCUCUGUUGUUGGUGAAGAAGGAUAGAGGUAGUAACUGGCCUUUAUUUGACGGUAAUCAACCAGAAAGUCACGGCUAACUACGUGCCAGCAGCCGCGGUAAUACGUAGGUGGCAAGCGUUGUCCGGAUUUAUUGGGCGUAAAGCGAGCGCAGGCGGAAGAAUAAGUCUGAUGUGAAAGCCCUCGGCUUAACCGAGGAACUGCAUCGGAAACUGUUUUUCUUGAGUGCAGAAGAGGAGAGUGGAACUCCAUGUGUAGCGGUGGAAUGCGUAGAUAUAUGGAAGAACACCAGUGGCGAAGGCGGCUCUCUGGUCUGCAACUGACGCUGAGGCUCGAAAGCAUGGGUAGCGAACAGGAUUAGAUACCCUGGUAGUCCAUGCCGUAAACGAUGAGUGCUAAGUGUUGGGAGGUUUCCGCCUCUCAGUGCUGCAGCUAACGCAUUAAGCACUCCGCCUGGGGAGUACGACCGCAAGGUUGAAACUCAAAGGAAUUGACGGGGGCCCGCACAAGCGGUGGAGCAUGUGGUUUAAUUCGAAGCAACGCGAAGAACCUUACCAGGUCUUGACAUCUAGUGCCAUUUGUAGAGAUACAAAGUUCCCUUCGGGGACGCUAAGACAGGUGGUGCAUGGCUGUCGUCAGCUCGUGUCGUGAGAUGUUGGGUUAAGUCCCGCAACGAGCGCAACCCUUGUUAUUAGUUGCCAGCAUUAAGUUGGGCACUCUAAUGAGACUGCCGGUGACAAACCGGAGGAAGGUGGGGAUGACGUCAAGUCAUCAUGCCCCUUAUGACCUGGGCUACACACGUGCUACAAUGGGCAGUACAACGAGAAGCGAGCCUGCGAAGGCAAGCGAAUCUCUGAAAGCUGUUUUCAGUUCGGACUGCAGUCUGCAACUCGACUGCACGAAGCUGGAAUCGCUAGUAAUCGCGGAUCAGCACGCCGCGGUGAAUACGUUCCCGGGCCU
RNAcentral lists this ribosomal RNA (1385 nucleotides) under uncultured bacterium. RNAcentral's name for it is "bacterial SSU rRNA". It matches the Rfam family "Bacterial small subunit ribosomal RNA", at positions 28 to 1381 of the family's 1533-position model. The record is from RNAcentral.